This is a long non-coding RNA of Dermacentor albipictus, 1283 nucleotides long. RefSeq lists it as uncharacterized. Lineage: Eukaryota; Metazoa; Arthropoda; Arachnida; Ixodida; Ixodidae. The record is from RefSeq and is a predicted model, not a curated record.
CGCAAAUUUCGCUACGUCCGUGCGCGGUAAGAAUCACGUUUUCAGUUGUUUGACUAAAUAUAUUUUUGCGUUGGCGGCUGUCAUCGCAGCGGCGAAUACUGGGUGCGCAGUGCACGUGCAAGGCCGGCCUUGGUGGCGGUUGCAAACAUGUAGCUGCCGUCGUCCUGUUCGUCAACGAGGCCGACGCGCCGUCUUCGACUGAUCGCCCUCAAGGGUGGGGUCGGCCGUCCUCUAAGCCGGACACUUCUCGAAGGGAGUCCAUCGAAGAGCUUUUUGGAGUUGGCACAAAGAAAGGUCGGUAAGGAUAUCAAGCUCCAUCGCACACCGCAUCCUGACUAGGCAAAAGGCCUUCGAGUCCCUGGCCGAGCAGCUGCAGAACUCCAAAACACCACUUGUUCCGGCGCUGAUGUAUGGUACUGCUAUGGAACCAACAGCAAGGGCAACAUUCGAGAAAAAAAUUGGUGCCAAAGUAACCCAGGUUUGUAACUACGUUCAUCAUCAUCAUCAGCCUACUUUAUGUCCACAGCAGGCCGAAAGCCUCUCCCUGCGAUCUCCAAUUACCUCUGUCCUGCGCCAACAGAUUCCAACUAGCACCCGCAAAUUUCCAAAUUUCGUCGCACCACCUAGUCUUCUGCCGUCCUCUACUGCGCUUCCCUUCUCUUGGGACCUAUUCUGUCACCCUAAUGGUCCAACGGUUAUCUAAUCUGCGCAUUACAUGACCUGCCCAGCGCCAUUUUUUUCUCUUAAUGUCUAUUAGAAUAUUGUCUAUACCUAUUUCCUCUCUGAUCUAAACCAAUCUCUUUCUGUCUCUUAAAGUUAUGCCUAGCAUUCUUCAUUGCAUCGCUCUUUGCGCGGUGCUUAACUUGUUCUCAAGCUUCUUUGUCAGUCUCCAUGUCUCUGCCCCAUAUGUCAGCACCGGUAAAAUGUGCUGAUUGUAUACUUUUCUUUUCAGUGAUAACAGUAAGCUCCCAGUCAGGAGCUCAUGAUGUCUGCUGUAUGCGAUCCAACCCAUUUUUAUUCUGUGUAUUUCCUUCUCAUGGUUAGGGUUCCCUGUCAGGAGCUCAUGAUGUCUGCUGUAUGCGAUCCAACCCAUUUUUAUUCUGUGUAUUUCCUUCUCAUGGUUAGGGUUCCCUGUGAUUAGUUGACCUAGGUAAACGUACUCCUUCACAGACUGUAGAGGCUGACUGGCGAACCUGAACUCUUGUUCCCUUGCUCGGCUGCGUAUCUACAAUUGCUCGUAGGUAUAGCGGGGCGUGGCACUUGCGCAGAUGACGGAUGUUUGC